RNAcentral lists this ribosomal RNA (497 nucleotides) under uncultured bacterium. Its description in RNAcentral is "partial 16S ribosomal RNA". It matches the Rfam family "Bacterial small subunit ribosomal RNA", at positions 28 to 507 of the family's 1533-position model. The record is from RNAcentral.
GAUGAACGCUGGCGGCGUGCCCAAUACAUGCAAGUCGAGCGAACGGACGAGAAGCUUGCUUUUCUGAUGUUAGCGGCGGACGGGUGAGUAACACGUGGAUAACCUACCUAUAAGACUGGGAUAACUUCGGGAAACCGGAGCUAAUACCGGAUAAUAUUUUGAACCGCAUGGUUCAAAAGUGAAAGACGGUCUUGCUGUCACUUAUAGAUGGAUCCGCGCUGCAUUAGCUAGUUGGUAAGGUAACGGCUUACCAAGGCAACGAUACAUAGCCGACCUGAGAGGGUGAUCGGCCACACUGGAACUGAGACACGGUCCAGACUCCUACGGGAGGCAGCAGUAGGGAAUCUUCCGCAAUGGGCGAAAGCCUGACGGAGCAACGCCGCGUGAGUGAUGAAGGUCUUCGGAUCGUAAAACUCUGUUAUUAGGGAAGAACAUAUGUGUAAGUAACUGUGCACAUCUUGACGGUACCUAAUCAGAAAGCCACGGCUAACUACGUG